CGUGAUUCCCCGGUGCCAUCCC
This 22-nucleotide microRNA is filed under the name Blattella germanica (German cockroach). Its description in RNAcentral is "Bge-Mir-96-P3_3p* (star (passenger))". Lineage: Eukaryota; Metazoa; Arthropoda; Insecta; Blattodea; Blattellidae. The record is from RNAcentral.